GAUGAACGCUGACAGCAUGCUUAACACAUGCAAGUCCACUUGAACUUCGGUUUGGGUGGCGGACGGGUGAGUCACGCGUAAAGAACUUGCCUCACAGAUAGGGACAACAUUUGGAAACGAAUGCUAAUACCUGAUAUUAUGAUUAUAUGGCAUCGUAUAAUUAUGAAAGCUAUAUGCGCUGUGAGAGAGCUUUGCGUCCCAUUAGCUAGUUGGAGAGGUAACGGCUCACCAAGGCGAUGAUGGGUAGCCGGCCUGAGAGGGUGAUCGGCCACAAGGGGACUGAGACACGGCCCUUACUCCUACGGGAGGCAGCAGUGGGGAAUAUUGGACAAUGGACCAAGAGUCUGAUCCAGCAAUUCUGUGUGCACGAUGAAGUUUUUCGGAAUGUAAAGUGCUUUCAGUUGGGAAGAAAAAAAUGACGGUACCAACAGAAGAAGUGACGGCUAAAUACGUG
RNAcentral lists this ribosomal RNA (454 nucleotides) under uncultured bacterium. RNAcentral describes it as "partial 16S ribosomal RNA". It matches the Rfam family "Bacterial small subunit ribosomal RNA", at positions 28 to 507 of the family's 1533-position model. The record is from RNAcentral.